GGAGCGGUAGUGCAGGCGGUGGUUUCAUCGUCGUGUCACGCCGGGGGUCGCGGGUUCGAGCCCGGUCCGCUCCGCCA
RNAcentral lists this transfer RNA (77 nucleotides) under Pseudomonas deceptionensis. RNAcentral's name for it is "tRNA_Pseudo_GTC". Lineage: Bacteria; Pseudomonadati; Pseudomonadota; Gammaproteobacteria; Pseudomonadales; Pseudomonadaceae. The record is from RNAcentral.